UACGUAGGGGGCAAGCGUGGUCCGGAUUUACUGGGCGUAAAGAGCGUGUAGGCGGCCAGGCAGGUCUGUUGUGAAAACUGGAGGCUCAACUUCCAGACGUCGACAGAAACCGCUUGGCUAGAGUCCGGAAGAGGAGAGUGGAAUUCCUGGUGUAGCGGUGAAAUGCGCAGAUAUCAGGAAGAACACCGAUGGCGAAGGCAGCUCUCUGGGACGGUACUGACGCUGAGACGCGAAAGCGUGGGGAGCGAACAGG
Molecule: ribosomal RNA, 253 nt
Filed under: uncultured bacterium
Lineage: Bacteria
Description: partial 16S ribosomal RNA
Rfam family: Bacterial small subunit ribosomal RNA
Source: RNAcentral